RNAcentral lists this ribosomal RNA (253 nucleotides) under uncultured bacterium. RNAcentral describes it as "partial 16S ribosomal RNA". It matches the Rfam family "Bacterial small subunit ribosomal RNA", at positions 524 to 776 of the family's 1533-position model. The record is from RNAcentral.
UACGUAGGGGGCAAGCGUUGUCCGGAAUCAUUGGGCGUAAAGAGCGCGUAGGCGGCCCAGCAAGUCCGCUCUGAAAGUCAGGGGCUCAACCCCUGAAUGCGGGUGGAUACUACUGGGCUAGAGUCCGGAAGAGGCGAGUGGAAUUCCUGGUGUAGCGGUGAAAUGCGCAGAUAUCAGGAGGAACACCGAUGGCGAAGGCAGCUCGCUGGGACGGUACUGACGCUGAGGCGCGAAAGCGUGGGGAGCGAACAGG